This 294-nucleotide ribosomal RNA is filed under the name uncultured bacterium. RNAcentral describes it as "partial 16S ribosomal RNA". It matches the Rfam family "Bacterial small subunit ribosomal RNA", at positions 775 to 1067 of the family's 1533-position model. The record is from RNAcentral.
GGAUUAGAUACCCUGGUAGUCCACGCCGUAAACGAUGAGAACUAGAUGUUGGGAAGAUUUAACUUCUUGGUGUCGCAGCUAACGCGUUAAGUUCUCCGCCUGGGGAGUACGGCCGCAAGGUUGAAACUCAAAGGAAUUGACGGGGGCCCGCACAAGCGGUGGAGCAUGUGGUUUAAUUCGAUGCAACGCGAAGAACCUUACCAGCCCUUGACAUCCUCGGAACUUUCUAGAGAUAGAUUGGUGCCUUCGGGAACCGAGUGACAGGUGCUGCAUGGCUGUCGUCAGCUCGUGCCG